AUGGCCGAAUGCUUCCAUAGGGUGCUCAAAGGAGCACGUGGAUUACCCGUGACGGCAAUAGUUCAAUACACAUUUGACAAGAUGAAUGCGUACUUUCUAAAAUACUCGAUGGAAACGGAUGCACAGAUAGCGGGUGAGAACCCGCGCAAGUACAAGUACAAGUUCCCACCCAAGGUUGAUGAAUGGUUGGUAUUUCAAUCACGGAAGGCGGACUCAGAAGAAGCUAUAUUAUAUGACAAUGAAGAGUGGAAGUACGAAGUGAAAGAGCCAGGAGGAACCACAAACGAUGGCCGCCAACAUGGAGGUCGUGCUUUCGAGGUGUCGUUAACACAAUGUGAUUGCUCUUGCGGGAGGCCAUUGUUGCUUCAUCUUCCAUGCUCACACUUGUAUACCGCCGGUCGCGUUAGGAAUGUGGACAUCAAUCACCCAUGCACCGUGAGGGAGUCGGAGUUCUCAAUCAUGACGGUCAAGAAAACAUGGGCUCCCCGCUUUCACCCAUAUCUUGACUAAUCACAAUGGCCGGAGUACCAUGGUGUUCAACUAUGGCUGGAUCCGGAGUUGAAGGUUGUUAAACGGGGUAGACGUCAGACAAAGCGUCUUAGAGGCGACAUGGACGGAUGGGGCCAUGGUGGCUGCCGUGAAGCGGGCAACGACCAAUUCCAAGAGCCUCGUGAGAGCUCCCGUUGUGGGGAGUGCAAAGGUCAUGGCCACAACAAAAGAAAAUGUACGAAACCAAGGAAAAGGUCCAAGAAAAAUGAUGCAAGUACAAGCCAACAAGGAGCUACACAAGGAAGCCCACCAAGUGGUAGCCAACAAGUGCCAAGCCAACCAAGUGGUAGCCAACAAGUGCCAAGACAACCAAGUGGUAGCCAACAAGUGCCAAGCCAACCAAGUGUUAGCCAAAGAGGAUCUAGGCAACAAAGAGGUCGGCAACUAGGACUUACAAGAGGCCAUGGUGGUGGUAGAGCUCGUGGUGGUGGUGUAGGCCAUGGUGGUGGUAGAGCUCGUGGUGGUGGUCUUGGCCGUGGUGAUGGUCUUGGCCGUGGUGUGAAGGAAAUAUGCACUAGAGGCAAUAAUAAAGUUAUUAUUUAUUUCCUUAUUUCAUGA
Molecule: ribosomal RNA, 1107 nt
Filed under: Triticum aestivum (bread wheat)
Lineage: Eukaryota; Viridiplantae; Streptophyta; Magnoliopsida; Poales; Poaceae
Description: partial small subunit ribosomal RNA
Source: RNAcentral